Molecule: long non-coding RNA, 386 nt
Filed under: Homo sapiens (human)
Lineage: Eukaryota; Metazoa; Chordata; Mammalia; Primates; Hominidae
Description: non-protein coding lnc-KIDINS220-8:2
Source: RNAcentral
CGCACUUGGAAGGGACGACCAAUAGUUCUGUGUUCCUGACCUGUCUUACAGUCUUUCGCUUCUAUCCGCAGUGGACCAUUUGGCUGAUCACGUCACUCUACAGCUGUUCUGCCACAUUUGAGCACCCACAUUAAAGACAAAAGUUGGGGAGAUAAUGAAGAGGCAAGACAGCAAUAUGGGAUUGGCUGGAAAGAUGACAGACUGCAUAUGCACAUCAAAUAAAUUCCAAACGCAGCCAUCUAUUCCCAAGGUUUGGACAAAACAAAGGAACGAAUGUGGAACAGAAGUUUCAAAGACCUCUACGGAAAGAUAAAGUUCUCGGAGGUAUCAACCUCAUAUGAAAGGGUCUUUUAAAAGGUCAUUUUAUUAAAGCUAUGGAGAAGAAA